This 211-nucleotide long non-coding RNA is filed under the name Phoenix dactylifera (date palm). RNAcentral's name for it is "long non-coding RNA (PDAC_LNC011711)". The record is from RNAcentral. Lineage: Eukaryota; Viridiplantae; Streptophyta; Magnoliopsida; Arecales; Arecaceae.
AGAUGUGUGUUGUGGUUGUACUUCAUCAAUGGAUACAUCUGGUUGAGGAAUAUCUUGUGUUUUCAUUUGUAGGUCUUGAACUUCUUCAAGUUCAAUUCUCCUAUCCUUUCCCUUUUCUAAGAUAAACUCUUGCUCUAAGAAAGUGGCAUGUCUACCUACAAAGACCUUUUGUUCGGUAGGAUGAUAGAAGAUGUAUCCUAUACUAUCUUUA